Trichuris suis (pig whipworm) is the source of this 71-nucleotide non-coding RNA. Lineage: Eukaryota; Metazoa; Nematoda; Enoplea; Trichinellida; Trichuridae. The record is from Rfam.
GCGCCGAUGGUUCAAUGGUAGAAUGCUCGGCUCCCACGCGAGCGAUCCGGGUUCGAUUCCCGGCCGACGCA